UCUGCCCUUGAGAGAUAGCUAACCCAUCAGAACUCAUAGGUCAUUUAUGAUCAACUGGUGAGUCCACUUUUUCCGACAGGCCUCCAUCUGUCUGCAUUAAACAAACACAAUACUUAAAAAUCUCAUUUGGAUCUCUUCACAACAGCCUAAUAUACAUACAUUUGGUUCAAUGGUUUGGUUUAAAUGUUAGACAAAAAAUUGUAGAAAAACUGAAUUUAAAUAUUUAGUACGUAAUAUGUGCAGUACUUCCUAUAUAAUUUGGCAUGAUUGUGUAUGACCUAUGAACCCAAUAUCCACACACGACAAUAUGGCACCUGUUGUGUAUUUUGUUGAGAAAUCAACAGUGAGUCUGCAGUUAUAGUAUUUUAUUGCAUCAGCACCUAUAGUACCCCACCACUUUCUCUCUAUCUUUCAUUCUCUCUUUUAUAAGAGUUUUGUUGUAGGUUGUCAGUAAGUUUAUGAGCAGGAAGUCAUGGGAGAAGAUUUAACAGCUGUGUCUGAGCAUAUACGCACCAGCCACCCUGUAGCAUCAACUCACACCCCGAACCACCAUUUCUAUCACUACGUCCAGUGUUUAGUUUACCAUGCUGUCUUGCUAAGCCAGGAUAGACAUGAACUUUGACACAUUGGCAAUUAUCAAUUACAUAUCAUAGUAGAAUGUAUAUGUGGGUGUUUUAGAAAACACAGUAGCUUAAGAUGGUACUCGACCCUGAGCUCUAAACUUCAUUGAGCCACAGGAGGUUGGCGGCACCUUAAUUGUGGAGGAUGGGCUCAUGGUAAUGGCUGGAGCGGAAUGGGUGGAACGGUAUGAAAUACAUCAAACACAUGGUUUCCGUGUUUGAUGCCAUUCCAUUUGCUCCGUUCCAGACAUUAUUAUGAGCCGUCCUCCCCUCAGCAACAUCAUGUGCAUUUAGCCUCCAUUUGAAACGACUGCUCUUCGCUAAUGCCAUUUACUUUAUCACACACAGUGAAAAGAUCAUUUAUGUUUAAGUCCUAAUAAAAUAGUCUAUUGCAUUGUGUUUUUGUUUAGUAGGACACCAUAGUUUUGGAUUAGAUUUGGCCCAGUUGGAGGCUAUUUUACUGAAUCUGUCUCUGAUUAUGUAUCUCAUCUGCAGUAUUCAAUUGUGAUCAGUAGCUUGUAGUAACACCUCCUCUCCCUAUUCCUUUGACUAUUUUCUUACACACUUUUUUUCCAGUGAUGGAAGACUGGGGAUUCAUGAUUUCUGUAUGAUUUCAUGAUUUCUGCAUGAUUUCACCUUGGUGGGCCAAGGUGCCAAAACAAAACCUCAGAUAUAGCAGCCAAUCAAAGCCCCUAAGCUCACAACAGCAAACUCUCUGAUUGGAUCAAUUUAAUCAUCAAGUAAGCAACUGCUCCCAUCGGGCUAUGUUCCAAUACCCAUACUAACAUACUAUGUAGAAUGAAGCAAUGUAAUGGGCAUGCAUCCUAAGUGGUAUGCUAGUGUGGAUAUGGAAACACAGCCCAGUUUGGCCUCAGUCUACCAUCACAACCUUCAUCAUCUACUGUCCAGAUACCUCACUCCUACUCUCCUAUUCCUUCCUUCUCCUUUACUCUCUCCUUCUCCCUUGCUCUUCCCUCCCCUAUUUCCCCAUCUCCCCUUCUUUUCCAAAAGAGUCCAAGCAGAACGGCGACGCGGCCACUGCGGUCCUGGCGAACGAGGACUGCCUCACCAUUGACCAGGUGCUGUGUCCGGAGCGAGAGGGCGCCCGAACAACACGGGAACGCUACCAGCAGGGCCGUGCUUGCUUCCUGCUCAACACCAGGGAAUUCCGUGCCACAGAUGGGAAUGUGCGGAAAGAAAUGUUUGGCGAUCGACAAGAAAUGCAUGGAUAUGGACAAGUCGACCGCGAUCGGCCGGUUGGUGACCAGUGUGUUAAGUUUCUAGCAUCGGCCUUUUUGCUGAAGACAUACUGAGUCACUUAAUCAGAAAUUAUCAGAGGGAGCCACUUUACCAAGACGUGUGACACAGAUGGACAGUUAAAAGUAGGAUCUUUGGUGUGACGAGCAAUACCGGAGGGGACUCAAGAUGAACAUUAGGUUGAUCUUUAUGCUGUUACCAAAGCAGCCUCUUGGCAACUCCGACCACCCUUUUGAAGACUGUCCGACAGAUCACAAUAACUGACUGAGCAUUGCACAGAAAAGGACUCCUACUGCAACAUUCCAGAAGACGUUAUGUUGCGACGCUCAACCAUCUCAUACAGUAACAAAUAACCGACUGCCGUGCUGAUCUACUGAGUAACUUGGAGAAUCCAUGAAUUAUCACUCACAUAUACACGAGGGAGCAGGUCUAACUGACUUUGUAGCAUCUCUGCUAACACUGUAGCAUUUGUUGGUAGGGAAACUAUUGUCAUGACCUUAUCCAUCAACAGUUUGAACAGAGUGUGAAAAUACACACCGAAUCUCGAAUCUCAACUUUACAUGCCUUUUUCCUCUUGUGUUACUUACCUUUACAAGAAACUAUUGUACAUGAAAGACAAAGACAGGUUCCACCUCAAAAGUUUAUUUGUAAAAUGUGUAACAACAACUAAAAAGGUUAAAUGAACAGAGAACUGAAUUUAGACAUGUCUGUUCUCCCACCUCAUGAGUUCAUGACUUGUGGAGUUAAAGGCUUGAAUGAUAACCAAUCUCUAUGUAUUCCAUUCAAUUUGGAACAAUGAUCCCAGGACACCAACAUAUGUACUUAUUACACUAUGAUACAGUGCAUACUGUAUGUCGAUGACAAUACCAAAUGGAUGUAGCAUCAACCGAGAACCUAUUAGUACUAUAUAUAUAUAUAUAUAUAUAUAUAUAUAUACAAAAGUAUGUGGACUCCCCUUCAAAUUAGUGGAUUCGGCUAUUUCAGCUACACCUGUUGCCAACAGGGGUAUAAAAUAAAGCACACUGCCAUGCUAUAGACAUCUCUAUAGACAUUUCUAUAGACAUCUCUAUAGACAUUGGCAGUAGAAGGGCCUUACUGAAGAACUGUGACAUUCAACGUGGCACCAUCAUAGGAUGUGACCUUACCAACAUGUCAGUUUGUCAAAUGCCCUGCUAGAGCUACCCUGGUCCACUAUAAGUGCUGUUGUUGUGAAGUGGAAAUGUCUAGGAGCAACAACAGCUCGGUGGUAGGCCACAGAACGGGACCGCCGAAUGCUGAAGCGCGUAAAAGUCAUCCUCAAACACUCAGUACCAAGUUCCAAACUGCAUCUGGGAAAGGGGAUAUAUAGUCAGUUGUACCACUGAAUGCAUUCAACUGAAAUGUCUUCCGCAUUUAACCCAACCACUCUGAAUCAGAGAGGUUUGGGGGGGCUGCCAUAAUCAACAUCCACGUCUUCAGCACCCAGGGAACACUGGGUUAACUGC
Long non-coding RNA from Oncorhynchus gorbuscha (pink salmon), 3361 nucleotides. RefSeq lists it as uncharacterized. NCBI's taxonomy places the organism in Eukaryota, Metazoa, Chordata, Actinopteri, Salmoniformes, Salmonidae. The record is from RefSeq and is a predicted model, not a curated record. The transcript has 3 exons.